AUGAAGAGUUUGAUCCUGGCUCAGGAUGAACGCUAGCUACGGGCUUAACACAUGCAAGUCGAGGGGCAUCAUGAACUAGCAAUAGUUUGAUGGCGACCGGCGCACGGGUGAGUAACGCGUAUCCAACCUGUCCCUAACUCGGGUAUAGGCUUUCGAAAGAAAGAUUAAUCCCCGAUAGUACAUAUUUCUCGCAUGAUUGAUAUGUUAAAGGUUUUUCCGGUUAUGGAGGGGGAUGCGUUCCAUUAGAUAGACGGUAAGGUAACGGCUUACCGUGUCAUCGAUGGAUAGGGGUUCUGCGAGGAAUGUCCCCCACAUUGGAACUGAGACACGGUCCAAACUCCUACGGGAGGCAGCAGUGAGGAAUAUUGGUCAAUGGGCGCAAGCCUGAACCGGCCACGUAGCGUGAAGGACGACUGCCUUAUGGGUUGUAAACUUCUUUUUCAGGGGAAUAAAUGUAUCCGCGUGCCGGAUAUUUGCAUGUACCCUGCGAAUCAGCAUCGGCUAACUCCGUGCCAGCAGCCGCGGUAAUACGGAGGAUGCAGGCGUUAUCCGGAUUUAUUGGGCUUAAAGGGUGCGUAGGCGGGACGUCAGGUCAGUCGUGAAAACUCAGGGCUUAACCUUGAGCGUGCGAUUGAAACCGUCGUUCUUGAGUAUGGACAAGGUGGGCGGAAUUCGUGGUGUAGCGGUGAAAUGCUUAGAUAUCACGAGGAACUCCGAUUGCGUAGGCAGCUCACUGGGGCAUAACUGACGCUGAGGCACGAAAGUGCGGUUAUCAAACAGGAUUAGAUACCCUGGUAGUCCGCACCGUAAACGAUGAAUACCCGCCGUCUGCGAUACACAGCAGGCGGUCUCGCGAAAGCAUUGAGUAUUCCGCCUGGGGAGUACGCCGGCAACGGUGAAACUCAAAGGAAUUGACGGGGGCCCGCACAAGCGGAGGAACAUGUGGUUUAAUUCGAUGAUACGCGCGGAACCUUACCCGGGCUUGAAUUGUGCUUGAAGGAUGUUGAAAGACAUCUGUCGCAAGACAAGUACAAAGGUGCUGCAUGGUUGUCGUCAGCUCGUGCCGUGAGGUGUCGGCUUAAGUGCCAUAACGAGCGCAACCCCUUCUGCCGGUUGCCAUCGCGUGAUGGCGGGCACUCCGGCGGUACUGCCGUCGUAAGAUGCGAGGAAGGUGGGGAUGACGUCAAAUCAGCACGGCCCUUACGUCCGGGGCUACACACGUGUUACAAUGGGCGGUACAGCGGGCAGCGCGGCGGCGACGCUUAGCAAAUCUCGAAAACCGCUCCCAGUUCGGAUCGAAGUCUGCAACUCGACUUCGUGAAGCCGGAUUCGCUAGUAAUCGCACAUCAGCCACGGCGCGGUGAAUACGUUCCCGGGCCUUGUACACACCGCCCGUCAAGCCAUGGGAGUCUGGGGUACCUGAAGGACGCGUCUGUCACAGGAGCGUACUAGGGUAAAUCCGGCGACCGGGGCUAAGUCGUAACAAGGUAGCCGUACCGGAAGGUGCGGCUGGAACACCUCCUUU
This 1525-nucleotide ribosomal RNA is filed under the name termite gut metagenome. RNAcentral describes it as "bacterial SSU rRNA". It matches the Rfam family "Bacterial small subunit ribosomal RNA". The record is from RNAcentral.